RNAcentral lists this ribosomal RNA (446 nucleotides) under uncultured bacterium. Its description in RNAcentral is "partial 16S ribosomal RNA". It matches the Rfam family "Bacterial small subunit ribosomal RNA", at positions 338 to 795 of the family's 1533-position model. The record is from RNAcentral.
CCUACGGGUGGCAGCAGUCGAGAAUCAUUCACAAUGGGGGAAACCCUGAUCGUGCGACGCCGCGUGGGGGAAUGAAGGUCUUCGGAUUGUAAACCCCUGUCAUGUGGGAGCAAAUUAAAAAGAUAGUACCCCAAGAGGAAGAGACGGCUAACUCUGUGCCAGCAGCCGCGGUAAUACAGAGGUCUCAAGCGUUGUUCGGAAUCACUGGGCGUAAAGCGUGCGUAGGCUGUUUCGUAAGUCGUGUGUGAAAGGCGCGGGCUUAACCCGCGGACGGCACAUGAUACUGCGAGACUAGAGUAAUGGAGGGGGAACCGGAAUUCUCGGUGUAGCAGUGAAAUGCGUAGAUAUCGAGAGGAACACUCGUGGCGAAGGCGGGUUCCUGGACAUUAACUGACGCUGAGGCACGAAGGCCAGGGGAGCGAAAGGGAUUAGAUACCCGGGUAGUC